GUGGGAGUAGCCGAGUGGUUAAGGCGUCUGACUGUGGCUCAGAAGACCGAGGGUUCGACUCCCUUCUCCCACCCCA
This 76-nucleotide transfer RNA is filed under the name Chloroflexota bacterium. RNAcentral describes it as "Chloroflexi bacterium (anaerobic digester metagenome) tRNA-His". It matches the Rfam family "tRNA". From Rfam's summary of the family: Transfer RNA (tRNA) molecules are approximately 80 nucleotides in length. Their secondary structure includes four short double-helical elements and three loops (D, anti-codon, and T loops). The record is from RNAcentral. Lineage: Bacteria; Bacillati; Chloroflexota.